GGGAAGUAAAAGUCGUAACAAGGUUUCCGUAGGUGAACCUGCGGAAGGAUCAUUAACGCGCAGGCCGGAGGCUGGCCCCCCACGAUAGGAAUCAACGUUCCAUCAGGGGUGUGCAGAUGUGCGCCGGUCUUACGCCCCAUUCUUGUCUACCUUACUCGGUUGCCUCGGCGGGCCGCGCUCUCCUGGGAGAGUCGUCCGGCGAGCCUCUUUGGGGGCUUUAGCUGGAUCGCGCCCGCCGGAGGACAGACAUCAAAAAAUCUUGGAAAGCUGUCAGUCUGAGCGUUAGCAAGUAAAAUUAGUUAAAACUUUCAACAACGGAUCUCUUGGUUCCGGCAUCGAUGAAGAACGCAGCGAAAUGCGAUAAGUAAUGUGAAUUGCAGAAUUCCGUGAAUCAUCGAAUCUUUGAACGCACAUUGCGCCCUCUGGUAUUCCGGGGGGCAUGCCUGUUCGAGCGUCAUUUCAACCCCUCAAGCCCGGCUUGUGUGAUGGACGACCGUCCGACCUCCUCUUUCGGGGGCGGGACGCGCCCGAAAAGCAGUGGCCAGGCCGCGAUCCCGGCUUCCUGGGCGAAUGGGCAGUCAAACCAGCGCCCUCAGGACCGGCCGCUCUGGCCUUCCCCCAAAUCUCUCUGAGAUAUUUUUUCAGGUUGACCUCGGAUCAGGUAGGGAUACCCGCUGAACUUAAGCAUAUCAAUAA
Molecule: unclassified non-coding RNA, 696 nt
Filed under: Trichophyton concentricum
Lineage: Eukaryota; Fungi; Ascomycota; Eurotiomycetes; Onygenales; Arthrodermataceae
Description: sequence contains 18S rRNA gene, ITS1, 5.8S rRNA gene, ITS2, 28S rRNA gene
Rfam family: 5.8S ribosomal RNA (bases 304-457)
Source: RNAcentral